This 1138-nucleotide ribosomal RNA is filed under the name Micrococcus sp. RNAcentral describes it as "bacterial SSU rRNA". Lineage: Bacteria; Bacillati; Actinomycetota; Actinomycetes; Micrococcales; Micrococcaceae. The record is from RNAcentral.
AUGCAAGUCGAACGAUGAAGCCCAGCUUGCUGGGUGGAUUAGUGGCGAACGGGUGAGUAACACGUGAGUAACCUGCCCUUAACUCUGGGAUAAGCCUGGGAAACUGGGUCUAAUACCGGAUAGGAGCGUCCACCGCAUGGUGGGUGUUGGAAAGAUUUAUCGGUUUUGGAUGGACUCGCGGCCUAUCAGCUUGUUGGUGAGGUAAUGGCUCACCAAGGCGACGACGGGUAGCCGGCCUGAGAGGGUGACCGGCCACACUGGGACUGAGACACGGCCCAGACUCCUACGGGAGGCAGCAGUGGGGAAUAUUGCACAAUGGGCGMAAGCCUGAUGCAGCGACGCCGCGUGAGGGAUGACGGCCUUCGGGUUGUAAACCUCUUUCAGUAGGGAAGAAGCGAAAGUGACGGUACCURCAGAAGAAGCACCGGCUAACUACGUGCCAGCAGCCGCGGUAAUACGUAGGGUGCGAGCGUUAUCCGGAAUUAUUGGGCGUAAAGAGCUCGUAGGCGGUUUGUCGCGUCUGUCGUGAAAGUCCGGGGCUUAACCCCGGAUCUGCGGUGGGUACGGGCAGACUAGAGUGCAGUAGGGGAGACUGGAAUUCCUGGUGUAGCGGUGGAAUGCGCAGAUAUCAGGAGGAACACCGAUGGCGAAGGCAGGUCUCUGGGCUGUAACUGACGCUGAGGAGCGAAAGCAUGGGGAGCGAACAGGAUUAGAUACCCUGGUAGUCCAUGCCGUAAACGUUGGGCACUAGGUGUGGGGACCAUUCCACGGUUUCCGCGCCGCAGCUAACGCAUUAAGUGCCCCGCCUGGGGAGUACGGCCGCAAGGCUAAAACUCAAAGGAAUUGACGGGGGCCCGCACAAGCGGCGGAGCAUGCGGAUUAAUUCGAUGCAACGCGAAGAACCUUACCAAGGCUUGACAUGUUCUCGAUCGCCGUAGAGAUACGGUUUCCCCUUUGGGGYGGGUUCACAGGUGGUGCAUGGUUGUCGUCAGCUCGUGUCGUGAGAUGUUGGGUUAAGUCCCGCAACGAGCGCAACCCUCGUUCAUGUUGCCAGCACGUCGUGGUGGGGACUCAUGGGAGACUGCCGGGGUCACUCGGAGGAAGGKGAGGACGACGUCAAUCAUCAUGCCCCUUAUGU